RNAcentral lists this ribosomal RNA (550 nucleotides) under uncultured Acidobacteriota bacterium. RNAcentral's name for it is "bacterial SSU rRNA". It matches the Rfam family "Bacterial small subunit ribosomal RNA", at positions 355 to 897 of the family's 1533-position model. The record is from RNAcentral. Lineage: Bacteria; Pseudomonadati; Acidobacteriota.
UCGGGAAUUUUGGGCAAUGGGCGAAAGCCUGACCCAGCAACGCCGCGUGAAGGAUGAAAUCCCUCGGGAUGUAAACUUCGCAAGAAUAGGAAGAAUUAGUAGGGGUCAAUACCCCCUAUGAUGACGGUACUAUUUGUAAGCUCCGGCUAACUCCGUGCCAGCAGCCGCGGUAAUACGGGGGGAGCAAGCGUUGUUCGGAUUUACUGGGCGUAAAGGGCGCGUAGGCGGCCAGCACAAGUCGGUUGUGAAAUCUCCGGGCUUAACUCGGAAAGGUCAACCGAUACUGUGCGGCUAGAGUGCGGAAGGGGCAACUGGAAUUCUCGGUGUAGCGGUGAAAUGCGUAGAUAUCGAGAGGAACACCUGCGGCGAAGGCGGGUUGCUGGGCCGACACUGACGCUGAUGCGCGAAAGCCAGGGGAGCGAACGGGAUUAGAUACCCCGGUAGUCCUGGCCUUAAACGAUGGAUGCUUGGUGUCUGGGGUUUUAUAGUCCCCGGGUGCCGUAGCUAACGCGUUAAGCAUCCCGCCUGGGGAGUACGGUCGCAAGACUGA